Long non-coding RNA from Tachysurus fulvidraco (yellow catfish), 4342 nucleotides. RefSeq lists it as uncharacterized. The transcript has 4 exons. NCBI's taxonomy places the organism in Eukaryota, Metazoa, Chordata, Actinopteri, Siluriformes, Bagridae. The record is from RefSeq and is a predicted model, not a curated record.
GUCAGGCUUUGAGGAACAGAAUGUGAAAUGUACUGUUGUAGUGUUUAUACUGACACACUCAUGCAGACUCAUGUAGUUCCCUACUGCUUACAAGGUUUGAUAUUGUAUUUCUUACUAGUUUAAUAACUGUGGGGAAAAACUAUGUUUCCAUUCAUUCCUUGUAUACGAGGGAGAUUAUCUGCCUUGCCUUGAUCAGAAACUGAGAAACACUAGUACACUUACUUGAGCCUCACCAAAUGGAAAAAGAGCCUGACUGUCCCUUUAAACAAGCCUGCUACUGUACUGCUGUGUGUGUGUGUGUGUGUGUGUGUGUGUGUGUGUGUGUGUGUGUGUGUGUGUGUGUGUGUGUGUGUGAUGACUCACUGUAGUGUCAUGGUGGAUAUGCCAGCAGAGAGGCCUCCGCCGAGCUUGUUACAGAAGCAGGAGCAGGAGAAAAACAACGGCUCCAUCGCCUUGCAGCAAGGGUUUGCAACCAUGAACUCAUCCACCACGUCUGGCAACAUGGACCUCCAGAAACAUACACCAUCAAUUUGCCUUUCCUGCAAUUAAAAAAACUCUUCCAUGUCAUCAGAACUAAAGAGUUUGAACUCACAGGGUCAAGCGUGAGUCUGGAGUCUGUCUCAGAGGCUCAGGGCACAAAGAGGGGAACACCAUGGAUGGAUUGCGAAGUGUACACAUCAUUCAAACACUACAAACAAUUUAGAGACACAAUGCAUGUCUUUAGAUUGGGGAGGACACCAGAGUCCUCAGAGGAAACCCCUGUAUCAUGAGAAGAAUGCGAGAAUGAAGAGAAUCAAGCCCUCAGCUCAAAAUAUUGAUAUGUAAUUAUUUUUAUUCUGAAGUAAAAUCUUCCACAAUUUGCAUGGAUUUCUGUGAUGAAAUACACUCAGAUAGUCGGGAAAUGUUAAUGCAGACUUCACUUCAUGUAACGGGUCCAUCAUCUCCUUCACAGUUUGUUUUCCAGACUCUAUCCAGUGACUCAGCAGUCACUGUCCAUGGCAACUCUUACAGAACCACCACAAAAUUUUAGCAUUGCAGUUUGCACACACUGACACCAUAUCUUCUUGUCUGGUCUCAUAGCUUAUCUCUGGGUAAUCAUAAAUGCUGUUGUAAUGUCUGUUUCUCGUCUGUGUAAUAUGUGUCUACUGUCACUGUCUGAUCCUGCUGCAGUUUGUUUGUUGCACUGUAUUUUCUGCUGUUUAUUGCUGUUAAUUCCUGGGAGCACAAUCCAUAGGCAGAUAAAUGUUGCUGAUGUUCACAACUGUCCUUUAUAAUAUAACUUAUGACAGGACAGUUUUUUAUUCCUUUGCAAGAACAUUUUCAUUGUAGGAGCAAUUUUUCAUUGAGCUUUCUGAGUUUCACUCCCAAAGAAAUGGUUUCUGCUUGUAACUUUUUUGGUACACUUUUGUGCUUGGUACAUUCCUUAAUACAGUAUAUAACCGCUAAAAAGAUCCAGACAAUACUUGCUCAGUUCGAUAUGAUGCUGUAUUUCCCACUUACUGUAUGCAGUUGACAAACUGUUAGCAACAAGCAGACUGCAUUCGGGAAUUACAGUAUACACAAGUGACACAUUUGCCUCACACCUCCAGGGUUGGGGUUCAAUGCCUUCCGUGUGAAGUUUGCAUGUUCUCCCCAUUCCUUGGGGGUUUCCUCUGGGUUUCCUCCACCAGUCCAAAGGCAUGCACUGUAGGCUGAUUGGCAUCACUAAAUUUCCAUAGUAUGUUAUUGUGUGUGCUGUUCAGCCCUGGGAUAGUCUGGCAUCCUGUCCAGGGUGUAACCUGGUUUAUGGCCAGUGUCACGUUGCAUAGGCUCCAGGUUACACGCGACCCAGUAUGAUAAGCAGUGUGGAAAAUGGAUGGAAGCUCAUUGACACUUACCAAUAUAGCCAACAUGAGAUACUGGAACUGAGCUCCCAAUCCUGCCACAUGGAUGCAGAACAAAGCAAAGUUUCCUAAAGCCAUCUGAAAGUAGCAUAUGCAGCUCCAUCCAUGGACUACUACACUACUACUACUACUCUGAUCUGCUUGUGCAAAUGCCCUGACCUGGAAAGCAAUAGAGGUGAACAGGAAGCCAAGGACCAGUCGCUGAUACGAGACCUGGCCAACCAGUUUCUUCAGAUCAGCAAGGCAUGACGAGCAUCUCUCUAUCUCAAUAUCUGCAGACCCUAAAUAAAGCACAGUUUCAGAUGGGCAAAACAAGCAGCAAUCUUUAAUGCAAACAGAAAGUGACUUUGCUGCAUGAAUAUUAAGCUGGUUGUUUUACAUGACCACAUGAAAGGAUGACCUGCGAGACAUUGUCAGAGACAGUAAGAUGAAAUACCUCAGAAUUGUGAAUAGCACACUAACCACUUUGUUCUCUCACUCCCAGAAAGAGCACCAUACAGCAGAGGAAGAAGAGAGCGCACAGGAACAGAGCUGAAGUCAUGAAGGCCGCUUGCUGAUGAGGAACACACACACUUACUACACACACACAUAAAUAACCUUCUCAGCAGUCCACCGACUGAUAUGCAAAAUUUGUCCAUGCAUGUGUGGAAAGAGUGCAUCAUCGGAGGUGAUUGAUUCACAGCACAUCAGUGAUAAUGACAUGUUGGUACAGCAUCUUUGCUGGGGUUUUUGUCACUACAGGGUUGAGAUACAGUCCACCAACUAAAAAUAUCCUUCCUACAGCAGUGUUGACCACAGAUAAGGCAUGGAUAAUAAACACUUUGGAGGGAAAAGAAAGCUCUAGUCUCUAGCACUUCUGAAUGCUCGAUUCUGAUUGAUUAUCUCUAAGCAGUAGCUCUGAGGGCCAGGGUUAUAUUAAUACACUCCUUCUAAUAUUAUUAUAUUAUAUUAUAAUAGACUAAUAUACUAUUAUUAUUUUUUCUGUAGUAAAAACUCACACAGGGACUUGUAUGGCAGAUGCUGUUAGAAACAGAGGUGAAACUGUAGGAUUUCUAAAACGACAAGUCUAAGGUUGGCUGACUUUGUGGUUAUUAACAGUUACAGCAAGCUUAAUUUUUAAUGCUUAAGUGAAAGAAACAGGAGUCUGUUAAACUAACAAAUGUUUAAAGCUGGGAACUGAAUAAUUUAGUGGAACUACAGUAGCAUGGCAUUAAAUAUAUUCCUAAGCAGAGAAAAUGUACAUGUGAGAAAUUGCUGUAGUGUGGAGAAAUGAAACUCUUUGCAAUGCACUUAAAAAAAUAAACAGUGACAGAAUAGUGGGAUGUGAGAUGCGUCUCAAUCAACUCCCUAGUUCAAUAGUCAGAGCACUGAUCCGGGAGUCGAUCAUUUUAAGGGCUGUCUCUCACAAUCACAAAAUCCUUUCAGUCCACUAGAACAUUCGAUCCCUAAAAAAAAUCAAUGCAAAAUGAAUCAUGGCUCACUACGUUCCCUUACUGGAAAUGGCAUUAUUUGAAAUUCUAUAUACAGUUUGUUUAAAAAACAACUCAAGCUAGCAUACAAUCUUGUUUAAAGUACAAUGACAAAACCAGUGAUUAAGCUCACAAAUUUAUAUGACAAUUAAAAUGAAAUACUUUGUGUUUGGGUUUUUACAUUGAUUGAUGAGGAAAUUAAAACAUUGCUGAAAAUUGAGUCAACAGUGUCCAGUAGUGUAGUGAGACACUUACCAGUGCCCCAACUCGUGUACGCAAUAUACUUAUUCACAAACUAGGGAGCCGACCGAAACAAAGCUGUGGACUGACACAGGGUUAUUUGAAGAGUUGUGGGUUCUCAGCUCCUGAAUAAUGUGGAAUCCAGUCUGAAAGGGGAAACCUCUGGAUCUUACAUAAAACCGUGUUUUUGGGGGGGAUUUUGGAAAAUGUGAACCAGAAGGAACCUUAAGGGUUCUUGAUUUCACAAGGAGAUCUGGGGCAACUACAAAUGGAAAUAAUGGACAGUCACACGUUUCUCCCCAAAUACCCAAAUCCCACCUACUAACAUUGACAUUAAUUUUCUUGCCAUUUUUAUUUGCAGCAGGAACAUUUAAUUUGUAUUGAAACAAGACAAGGUCUAGGAACUUGCUGUUAAAUCUAUAGCUAACUAUGAAGUGCGUGUAGAUAUCUUACUAACGUUGCUACCAGUGAAACCACACCAGGAAACUAGAUGAUGAGAGUAGAGCAACUUCAGAUAAAAAAAAUCAAAAUAAAACUAUCACUCAAAUUAUAUAUAUAAAUAUACACUUUGUAUAUAAUUGUAUAUAAAUUUAACAUAGAAAAGGAUGGGAUCUGAUACAUGCACCAGAUGCAACUGCAUUAUGUGAUAUCUGACAUUAGAAGUUAUGCAUAUAGUCUAGUGAUUGAAGUCUAUUGUUGCUUUUUGUAUGCACUAUGGUGCGAGUGUGUGUUCAGUAGUUAUACCGUGUU